CCCUUAGAUGUUCUGGGCCGCUCGCGCGCUACACUGAUGCAUUCAACGAGCCUAUCCUUGACCGACAGGUCCGGGUAAUCUUUGAAUCUGCAUCGUGACGGGGAUAGAUUAUUGCAAUUAUUAAUCUUCAACGAGGAAUGCCUAGUAGGCGCAAGUCAUCAGCUUGCGUCGAUUACGUCCCUGCCCUUUGUACACACCGCCCGUCGCUCCUACCGAUUGGGUGUGCUGGUGAAAUGUUCGGAUCGGCCGUUUGUCGCGGUUUCCGCGUCAUGUGGCUGAGAAGUUCAUUAAACCCUCCCACCUAGAGGAAGGAGAAGUCGUAACA
This 325-nucleotide ribosomal RNA is filed under the name uncultured eukaryote. Its description in RNAcentral is "partial 18S ribosomal RNA". It matches the Rfam family "Eukaryotic small subunit ribosomal RNA", at positions 1470 to 1796 of the family's 1831-position model. The record is from RNAcentral.